CGUCAAGGGAAGAAGAAAGGGGAACUGUCACAAUUAAUUACCUCCUCUAAAUUGAUAGUUGUAGGCUUCUCGUCACACACUACUGCUGUAAAGCAGAACAACAAAGAUGUUUACAGCUGCGAUAGGGAUUUUUGCAUACGUGCAACCACACAAGGCUGAGCACACUCCUGUCCCUCUGACAUGUUGAGAAAUAGCCAGAAGAGCGCAGUGUGCUCUUGCUGUCAGGCUACAUACUCCGAGCAUUUCCAAAGGCAUGCUGUUCUGUAGAACAUGCUGAGCCGCCCGGACAGUUGGUGCAGGAAGAAUGCAGCAGUAUCAGCGCACUCCAUCCCGGGGAUCUGAAUGCAUUUGCGGAGAGAACAGGGAAAUAAGAGUUCCAACCAGGUGGACUCUCAAUGUCUUGCAAGCGACACCUAGAAGCAGGUACAGGCAGGAGGUACAGCACCCUGCAACCUCCAGGGGCCUUUGUGCAACACCAGAUGUUCAUGUCCUAGAAGCACGUGGCGGAGCACGUCCUGGGAUCAAGGUGCCAUGGACUGGAAAAUGCAGCUCUGGACAUACAGGCUUGGCGGAGUUCCUGUGUGAAGACAAAACUCCCAGUACUCCAGAAACGUGGAGGCAGAAGAGCAGUGACAAGGUAUCUGUAUGUCUGUCAGUAUAUGUGCACAGCCAGGAGUGCGUGGGCAGACAAAGAAGCGUUGUGCAGGCAGGGAAAAAUGAGUGCUGUGGGUCCUGGGAGCAGCAAUGCGGGAGGCUCCUCCUGCUAGUGCUCUUCCGCUGGAACGUCCCUUUGGUUUUCUACCUGGGAGAAUAUUUGAACCCGUUGAAAAAGGUCUGACUUGAAG
RNAcentral lists this long non-coding RNA (845 nucleotides) under Gallus gallus (chicken). The record is from RNAcentral. Lineage: Eukaryota; Metazoa; Chordata; Aves; Galliformes; Phasianidae.